GAAGAUGUAGAAUGAGGGGGAGAAUAUAACAUGCAAACAAAAUGCCUCUAGUAUGCGGUCCUAGAACCCUUUGGCCAACCAUAGAAGGAAGAAAAGGUGAAAUAAGGCAAAAACAUGUAUCCUUCCAUAUAAAGGCCUAGAAUGCUUUGGCAUUUGAGAAGGCUUGGAAGGAAGCAUGUUCAUCUACUCUAUCUGUUCUGGUGGUGCCUAAGAACAAGAGCUACCUUCUUAAACCAAUUACAUUUUGAGGCCCAUGCAAAUCUUCUAUUAAAGUGAUGAUCUAUGGAACCAUCCAAGCUUUCACAAAUCGAUCAGAUUGGGACGGAUCAUACCAGCGGCACUAGCUUCUAUUCUGGAAGAUUACAAAGCUACUAGUUGAAGGUGGUGGAACCAUUGAUGGCAAUGGAGAGAUAUGGUGGAAUACUUAUGCAAAAUUGACAAAUCUCAAGUAAGUUCUUUAGGUUAGAAUUCGAAAAUUGACAAAUCUCAAGUAAGUUCUUCAGAUUAGAAUUCGAAAAUCGACAAACCUCAAGUAAGUUCUUUAGAUUAGAAUUCGAAUUCUCUAAAUUCAACAUUGCCUACUUUUCUUUUGCUUUUUACAAGAACUCACUGUGAUUGAAUUCUUCUUCUAUGAAUUUGCCGCCUUGUAAAGACACCCCAACGGUAUGUAACCCAUACCUUCGCAUGUGAAAUUGUAGAGAUUUUUCCAUCAACGCAUCAAAUUCUCUCAAUAGGAGUUCUUGAGAGGAAGUAGCUGAAAUUCUUCCUCUUUGGUUUUGUUAUAACAGACUGACAUUCUAUUCAUGCAAGAACUUGAAAGUAAAAGACUAGAGGUUCAAAGACAACCAACAAAUACAUCUUUCUUUUGAGAUUCAUGGAUUUUGCAGGUUAUCUGGAGUAGAUAGGGAGUGGACUCUCUCAAAAUAAUUCAAACAAAGAAACUUUGAACUUACAAAACGUCUCGCCUCUCUCAACAAGCUAGAGAUCCCAGUUCUGCUGCUUGGUCAUGCAUGAUGACACAUGCAUGCUUCACAAGGAGUGGAGCAUGGAGGAUUUUUAAUUUAUUUUUCAUGUAUU
Magnolia sinica is the source of this 1077-nucleotide long non-coding RNA. RefSeq lists it as uncharacterized. The record is from RefSeq and is a predicted model, not a curated record. NCBI's taxonomy places the organism in Eukaryota, Viridiplantae, Streptophyta, Magnoliopsida, Magnoliales, Magnoliaceae. The transcript is spliced from 5 exons.